GCCGAUAUAUGUCAGUGGUAGACGCCGUCCGUGGUAAGGACGGAGCCGUGGUUCAAUUCCACGUGUCGGCUCCA
This 74-nucleotide transfer RNA is filed under the name Pseudaminobacter soli (ex Zhang et al. 2022). RNAcentral describes it as "tRNA-Thr". It matches the Rfam family "tRNA". Rfam says of the family: Transfer RNA (tRNA) molecules are approximately 80 nucleotides in length. Their secondary structure includes four short double-helical elements and three loops (D, anti-codon, and T loops). Further hydrogen bonds mediate the characteristic L-shaped molecular structure. tRNAs have two regions of fundamental functional importance: the anti-codon, which is responsible for specific mRNA codon recognition, and the 3' end, to which the tRNAs corresponding amino acid is attached (by aminoacyl-tRNA synthetases). tRNAs cope with the degeneracy of the genetic code in two manners: having more than one tRNA (with a specific anti-codon) for a particular amino acid; and 'wobble' base-pairing, i.e. permitting non-standard base-pairing at the 3rd anti-codon position. The record is from RNAcentral. Lineage: Bacteria; Pseudomonadati; Pseudomonadota; Alphaproteobacteria; Hyphomicrobiales; Phyllobacteriaceae.